Molecule: long non-coding RNA, 450 nt
Organism: Solanum stenotomum
Lineage: Eukaryota; Viridiplantae; Streptophyta; Magnoliopsida; Solanales; Solanaceae
Exons: 4
Source: RefSeq, a predicted model, not a curated record
AAUUGCAGAUUGUGAGCUAUGAGCCUAUGACGAAAGGGGCAUAAUUCAAGGAACGACGAAAUCACAAGCCGCUUGAUUAUUUAGAAUCUAGACACAAAGCUGAUAUUCUUAAGGCGAAAGAGGAUAGAUACACAUCCCCACCCUAAGAAAGACUUGAAUAAUUUGAAGACUCCAACUUGCAGACUUAAAGAAUUUGAGGACCUCAACUUGCAGACUUGAAGAAUUUGAAGACCUCAACUUGCAGACUUGAAGAAUUUGAAGACCUCAACUUGCAGACGUGAAGAGUUUGAAGACCUCAAUUUGCAGACUUUGAAGAAUUUGAAGACUUCAACUUGCAGACUUGAAGAAUUUGAAGACUUCAACUUGCAGACUUAAAGAAUUUGAAGACUUCAACUUGGAGACUUUAAAGAAUUUGAAGACUUCAACUUGUAGACUUAAAGAAAUUGAAGA